Vicia villosa (hairy vetch) is the source of this 956-nucleotide long non-coding RNA. RefSeq lists it as uncharacterized. NCBI's taxonomy places the organism in Eukaryota, Viridiplantae, Streptophyta, Magnoliopsida, Fabales, Fabaceae. The record is from RefSeq and is a predicted model, not a curated record. The transcript has 6 exons.
CAGAGAAUAAUAAGUUACCAACAAUGCGCAGUUACAACGAACGUGAAAACGGAAAAGCGAUACUUGCUCCUCUUAAAAGUGCUUAUCUAACGUGUUUUUCAAUCUCUUCCUCGAGCAAAUCCAAUCAGUGGCAGAGCAUGGUGAUUAAUGGAACAAGCGAAUGAGAAUGAAAUUAAGAGAAACGAAAGAUACAUGAAGAUGAUGCCGACGCAGAUUCAUGAUGGAAUUCGAUAACUCCACUACCUGGUGCUUGGCCCCAGAAGCCUGGUUCUGCUACUUGCCCUUUCUUUGGAGUCGAGGUCUCCUGUCAUAGUGGAUGAGAAAGGUGUUGCGAUAGAAGGAGAGUCUAGUGGUUACUUGUGUGUUAAGAGAUCAUGGCCAGGGGCAUUCAGAACUUUGUAUGGCGAUCAUGAACGAUAUGAAACAACAUAUUUCAAGCCCUUUGCUGGCUACUAUUUCAGUGGUGAUGGCUGCAACAGGGAUAAAGAUGGAUACUAUUGGCUUACUGGGAGAGUUGAUGAUGUCAUUAAUGUCAGUGGCCAUCGUAUUGGGACAGCUGAAGUAGAAUCAGCUCUAGUUUCACAUCCAAAAUGUGCUGAAGCAGCCGUUGUAGGCGUGGAGCACGAGGUUAAAGGACAGAGUAUAUAUGCUUUUGUUAGAUACAUAUUUACAAAUCAUUAACAAAGCAUUUUUCAACAAACAAACCCUUGAGAAUCUUAGACUCUGUAAACGUCUCUACCACCUAAUCACACCAUUAUUAUACCAUUGCGACGGCAAAAAAAACCUUGAGUUGAAUAUGAUUUAUUGACUUUCCAAUGUAUUAUUUGUAUUUGUUUAGCAGUUAAAUAGGUGAAUACUUUAAAAUUAUUUAAAAACAAUUAUUGACAGAACUUAUUCAACUUCUUAACAAACUUAAAAACUUGUUUAUUACGACAUAACUUUAUAAUUUAGUUAUA